This 393-nucleotide ribosomal RNA is filed under the name uncultured bacterium. RNAcentral's name for it is "bacterial SSU rRNA". It matches the Rfam family "Bacterial small subunit ribosomal RNA", at positions 108 to 518 of the family's 1533-position model. The record is from RNAcentral.
GAGUAACGCGUGAGCAACCUGUCCUCACAGGGGAUAACACAGCGAAAGUUGACUAAUACCGCAUAAGACCACAGUGAGACAUCUCAGAGGGGUCAAAGGAGCAAUCCGGUGAAGGGUGGGCUCGCGUCCGAUUAGAUAGUUGGUGAGGUAAACGGCCCACCAAGUCGACGAUCGGUAGCCGACCUGAGAGGGUGAUCGGCCACAUUGGGACUGAGACACGGCCCAAACUCCUACGGGAGGCAGCAGUGGGGAAUAUUGGACAAUGGGGGCAACCCUGAUCCAAGCGACGCCGCGUGAACGAAGAAGUAUCUCGGUAUGUAAAGUUCUAUCAGCAGGGAAGAUAAUGACGGUACCUGACUAAGAAGCACCGGCUAAAUACGUGCCAGCAGCCGC